GAUUAACGCUGGCGGCGUGCGUAACACAUGCAAGUCGAACGAUGAAACUUAAAUGAUUUCUUCGGAAUGAACUUAGGUGGAUUAGUGGCGGACGGGUGAGUAACGCGUGAGUAACCUGCCUUACACAAGGGGAUAGCCGUUGGAAACGACGAAUAAUACCCUAUGAAACUAUCACUUCGCAUGAAGCGAUAGUCAAAGUGUUAGCGGUGUAAGAUGGACUUGCGUCUGAUUAGCUAGUUGGUGAGAAAAAAGCCCACCAAGGCAACGAUCAGUAGCCGGCUUGAGAGAGUGUACGGCCACAUUGGGACUGAGACACGGCCCAGACUCCUACGGGAGGCAGCAGUGGGGAAUUUUGCACAAUGGGGGAAACCCUGAUGCAGCGACGCCGCGUGAUUUAGAAGGCCUUCGGGUUGUAAAAAUCUUUUGUAUAGGAAGAAAAUGACAGUACUAUACGAAUAAGGUCCGGCUAAUUACGUG
Molecule: ribosomal RNA, 477 nt
Filed under: uncultured bacterium
Lineage: Bacteria
Description: partial 16S ribosomal RNA
Rfam family: Bacterial small subunit ribosomal RNA
Source: RNAcentral